RNAcentral lists this ribosomal RNA (435 nucleotides) under Spurilla neapolitana. RNAcentral describes it as "partial 16S ribosomal RNA". It matches the Rfam family "Archaeal large subunit ribosomal RNA", at positions 1924 to 2665 of the family's 2987-position model. Lineage: Eukaryota; Metazoa; Mollusca; Gastropoda; Nudibranchia; Aeolidiidae. The record is from RNAcentral.
AGCCAUUAGAUGAUACUAUAUGGUUUUACCUGCCCAAUGUUACGAUGAAUGGCCGCGGUACCCUGACCGUGUUAAGGUAGCGUAAUCAGUUGACCUUUAAAUGAGGUCAGGAAUGAAUGGAAUAACCGGGUUUAGCUGUCUCCAAACCAUUAUAUUGAAUUUACUAUCUAAGUGAAAAAGCUUAGGAUUUAAAAAAGGAGGAGAAGACCCUUAGAAUUUUUUUAAAAAGGAACAUAUUUUCCUUACAGUUUUAUUGGGGCGAUAAAGAAAUAAUUAAAACUUUCUUUUUUAACAAGCCGAUUGUAUUAAGUAAGAAUAAAUUACCUGAGGGAUAACAGCAUAAUUCUAUAACUGAGUUUGUGACCUCGAUGUUGGACUAGGAAACCAGUAGGCUAGCCGUUUACUGUGUUAGGUUCUGUUCGAACUUUUAUUCCU